RNAcentral lists this ribosomal RNA (358 nucleotides) under Escherichia coli. RNAcentral's name for it is "bacterial SSU rRNA". It matches the Rfam family "Bacterial small subunit ribosomal RNA", at positions 124 to 477 of the family's 1533-position model. The record is from RNAcentral. Lineage: Bacteria; Pseudomonadati; Pseudomonadota; Gammaproteobacteria; Enterobacterales; Enterobacteriaceae.
UACUGCCUGAUGGAGGGGGAUAACUACUGGAAACGGUAGCUAAUACCGCAUAACGUCGCAAGACCAAAGAGGGGGACCUUCGGGCCUCUUGCCAUCGGAUGUGCCCAGAUGGGAUUAGCUAGUAGGUGGGGUAACGGCUCACCUAGGCGACGAUCCCUAGCUGGUCUGAGAGGAUGACCAGCCACACUGGAACUGAGACACGGUCCAGACUCCUACGGGAGGCAGCAGUGGGGAAUAUUGCACAAUGGGCGCAAGCCUGAUGCAGCCAUGCCGCGUGUAUGAAGAAGGCCUUCGGGUUGUAAAGUACUUUCAGCGGGGAGGAAGGGAGUAAAGUUAAUACCUUUGCUCAUUGACGUUA